This is a long non-coding RNA of Oreochromis aureus, 3287 nucleotides long. RefSeq lists it as uncharacterized. The record is from RefSeq and is a predicted model, not a curated record. NCBI's taxonomy places the organism in Eukaryota, Metazoa, Chordata, Actinopteri, Cichliformes, Cichlidae. The transcript is spliced from 2 exons.
AUUUUAUCAUAAAUAAAAGGUAAGUUUGUCACUGUCGCUUUUGGCUCUUCGGCUAUAGUGAAAGUGAAAAUGUUUGAACUUGAACUUCAAUAUCCUCCAACAGGUCCUUUCCUUUUUCGUUUUGGGCUGGUGUUAUUUUGCUGGUUUGACCAAUGAGAAUUUCCCUUAACCUCAGUCGCCUUGUGUUACUAGCCAAACACAGAUCUUUUAGGAUGACACUCUGUGGCUCUCUGCAGCUUCCCACCCACUCUCGCUCAUCAUCACAUCGUCGCGCCUGUGUCACAUCUUUGCGGCUGUAAAGCUGACUGCAUCACAGCGAGGGGGUGACGUGGUCUCAUGUGGGAAUGCGGCUUAUAAAUCCUCACCUCUUUUCCAGAAUGCGAAAGAUACACUGGUUGUAUCCUCCGAGGCCGACCGUGUUCCAGGAUUCAUUACGCGCACUUUGCUGUCACAUAUUUCUCCCUGAAAAUGACGGAAAGCUCAAGGAAAGCGACCGAGGAAUACACUUUUAAACGUGUCCGGGAUCAGGAAGACCUGGUUAAGGGUGAAGUGUUCCAACAGGCUUUCCAUCCCCCUGAUGACACGCCGGCCUAAAUUCAGAAGUUUGUGAGGAAGACGAGGAGAAGCAGGAGCCAACCAGCUGAGACAGAGCGAGACUGUUCUCUCUUUACUUGGUUUAACCGACUGCUAAAUAUAUAAUUUAUCAUCAGCUAUUUCUUACAUAAAUCAUAACAGAAAGAAAAGUGACAGAAGGUCAGGGCUGACAACAUCUGCCAUAUUAGAAAGAUGUUCUCAAAAGAGUUAAAAAAAGAAGAAGAAGAAGAAGAAGAGACAGUUAAUACAAUUUUUUAAAAGAAGAAGCUAAACACCAGGGUUUUAAGCAGGGCGCCCAGUCCAAGUCUGGCUGUGAAGGUCCAGCAGGACUGUCAGGACCUUACUGCUCAGCCAAAAUCUCCCAGGUCCUCCCUGCAGUAAAGAGGCGUUUCCUGGUUUAGACAAAGAAGGAAAAAUAAUAACUGUGGACAGCUUUGACUGAUGAGGCUUAAAGGAAAUCAUUUUUCUGAACCAUAUGUCGUCUUUAUAGUUAUUGUUAAAAAUAUCUUAUAUGUGGCUGUUUUCAGUGGUGAAAAAAGAACUGAUACACUAAAAAAUAGUCCAGAAUAAAGGAGGACUCCAAGUUAAAUAUUCAAGGUAGCAGCAGCAAAAUGUACUUGAGACAUGAAAAAAUAAGUGUUAAAGUUAAAUAACCUGUUUUCUCUGGCAUGUGAGAUAUAUGGUGUUUUUAUUGAUGAGUAUCAAUACUGGAUGUUGGAAGUUUGUAUCAUAUGAGGCACAUUUAUACAAUAUGGAGAACCAGGAGAGACAUGUACAUGGAAAGAAAGCAUUUUAUUAAUUAAUAAUGAAUUGUGCAAUAAAAUAUUAAUUACAAAUUCUACCGAUCUCCAUCGAUGUCGGUCAGCGGCGACGGCUUCAGCUUCGUCCCAGGCAAUGUCGAUGGUUCUAUUUAGACAUUAAAAUGGUAAAUGGUAAAUGGCCUGUAUUUAUAUAGCGCUUUAAUAGUCCCUAAGGACCCCAAAGCGCUUUACAUAUCCAGACAUCCACCCAUUCACACACACAUUCACACACUGGUGAUGGCAAGCUACAUAGUAGCCACAGCCACCCUGGGGCGCACUGACAUUAACAAAGUAAUUUAUUGUUUGAUCAUUUAAUGGGCAAUAACAAAAAAGGAAGAUGAAUUAUAAAUAUUUCCAAGUCAUCCGUGCGUCAAUCAAUCAAUCAAUCAAUCAAUCAGUCAGUCAAUCAAAUGGAAAGCAGAUUAUCAAAACAAAACAAAAAUAUUCAACACUCAAUAAAAACAUCUAAAAAAAAAUCAGGAUUAAAAAAAUAUUUUUUCAAAAUCUUUUAAGAAUAAAAAUAGAUCAACAGAUUCAAAAAUGAAAUUAGGAAUAGGGUCAAUAAAUAUUAAGAACAUUACGAAUCAAAAAAUGUUAAGUGGAAUGACUCUCUCUGUAAUGUGAUUCACAGCAUCAUACUCAGUGGACAACAGUCAGGGUUAACGAUCAGCUACAAAGCCAGCAAACCCAAGUACUGAUCGAUAGAGACAAACUAUGAAGGCCUUGUUCUGUGUUUAUUAUGGCACACUGCACUACAUGCAAACUCAACGUGCUGAACACAGAACACACAAACAGAAACCUGUGUAAACCUUUACGAUGCCUUAAGGCAGCGAAAGCAGCAAAACAAAACACUUAAGUAUCGGCCCGUGUGAAUAAAGAGGUUUUGGGUCUGUUUUUUAACGUGUGCACAGAUGUAAUAGAUCCUUCCAAAGAACAAGACCACAGUAACUACAAGCACCCUCAUUGCACUUAGAUCUAAUUCUGGGAACACUUAAAACAUCUGCACCUGAUGACCUGAGACUGGGUUGUAAACUAGAAUGAUAAAGAAGGGUACUGCUUUUGUUUCCAUCUAUUUUGGUUUUUGCCUUUUCCCAUAUUUUCUUUAUUAUAUAAAUAUAUUUGGUUGCUUGAUUAUUACGACAAAGCCUCUGCAGCAUUUUUUUCUUAUCAGUAUAAUCCUACUCCUUUACAAAUUUUGUAUCUAUAAAUGUAAAUUUGCAAACAGAGCAUACAUUUUUGUAUCAUAAAGAAAUGAAACUGAUUUCUUCCUCACGCACACAAGGAAAGAUGGUCAUAUAUGCAACAUUUUUGCUGUCUUUUAAUGAACUUGUUGCCUUGUUACGUUUUUGUUGUUCUGUACUCUGGCGCUUAAAAAUGAAGCCAACAAGGAAGCGGCAAAAAAAAAAAAAAAAGAGAACUGCACUUCCUCUUUAAGCCACUUGAGGCUGUCUCAAAAAUGUGACAGUGGAGUGAGGGGGGUGGUUGCUUUGAUUGACAGGUGUGCUGUGUGAGCACUCGCCCUCUCCUCUCUCCCUCUGCAUCACCUCCAUCAGUCUUCUCUGUGGCCCUGCUCUCUUCCUCCUGCCUGGAAGCUCCACCUUCAGCAUCCUUUGUACCACCGCCUCUGUACAUCUGUACACACAUCCCAGCAGGUCUAACUACUAUCUUGUAAACUCUCCCUUUCACUCUUGCUGCUAUCCUUCUGACACACCCACUCCACCCUCCCUUCUCUUCUUCACCUGUUGGACACUGUCCUUUGCUUUUGGAUAUCCUGAUAGUCUUCUGUGUUAGUUGUUAUUCAAAGGUUUCAAAUCUAUUUCUUUGGAAUGAACAUAAAAUGAGGAAAUACAAAAAAAAAUAUAUGUAUAAUUAAACAUGUGAAUUAUGCCAGAA